RNAcentral lists this ribosomal RNA (163 nucleotides) under uncultured bacterium. RNAcentral's name for it is "partial 16S ribosomal RNA". It matches the Rfam family "Bacterial small subunit ribosomal RNA", at positions 1339 to 1500 of the family's 1533-position model. The record is from RNAcentral.
UAAUCGUAGGUCAGCAUACUACGGUGAAUACGUUCCCGGGCCUUGUACACACCGCCCGUCAAACCAUGAGAGUUGGCAACACCCGAAGUCGGUAGUCUAACCGCAAGGAGGACGCCGCCGAAGGUGGGGUUGAUGAGUUAGGGUUAAGUCGUAACAAGGUAAC